GCACCUGUAGCUCAAUGGAUAGAGCUUUUGACUACGGAUCAAAAGGUUGGGGGUUCGACUCCCUCCAGGUGCG
RNAcentral lists this transfer RNA (73 nucleotides) under Candidatus Aminicenantota bacterium. RNAcentral describes it as "tRNA-Arg". It matches the Rfam family "tRNA". From Rfam's summary of the family: Transfer RNA (tRNA) molecules are approximately 80 nucleotides in length. Their secondary structure includes four short double-helical elements and three loops (D, anti-codon, and T loops). Lineage: Bacteria; Candidatus Aminicenantota. RNAcentral also lists the same sequence under 1 other name. The record is from RNAcentral.